GCAUGACAUGGCGGCGGGGCGGGGCCGCGGCCGGGAGUCGGGAGCUGGCGGGCAACGGGCGCCUCCGACCGGCCUGGGCGGUCAAUGGGGGCGCCGGCGCUGGCCCUCGCUGGGCUCUGCUGGCUGCUGCGGGCGGCCGCGGGCACGCAGUCCGGGCAUGAGGGCGGCAGCCGGGAGAGAGAGGCGACGGCGCUGGCGCUGCGGGAAACUGCUAAAAGAAUUAAACUAAUGAAUUUAUCAUCAAAUGAUAAUGUGUCUGCUUUCUAUGGAAUAAAUCAGUUUUCUCACCUGUUUCCUGAAGAGUUCAAAGCUAUUUACUUAAGAAGCAUACCUCACAAACUUCCCAGAUACAUGAAAGUGACAAAGGGGAAGGAAAAACCUUUGCCAAAGAAGUUUGACUGGAGGGACAAGAAAGUCAUUGCAGAAGUGAGAAAUCAGCAAACAUGUGGAGGCUGCUGGGCGUUCAGUGUUGUGGGUGGUAUAGAGUCUGCCUAUGCAAUUAAAGGAAAUAAUCUGGAAGAACUCAGUGUACAGCAGGUUAUUGACUGUUCAUACAAUAAUUAUGGCUGCAGCGGUGGAUCCACCGUUAGUGCUUUGAGCUGGCUGAACCAGACAAAAGUAAAGCUUGUGAGAGAUUCAGAAUACAGUUAUAAAGCUCAGACAGGAUUGUGCCACUAUUUUCAUCGCUCAGAUUUUGGAGUUUCAAUAAAGGGAUUUGCUGCAUAUGACUUCAGUGGCCAGGAAGAGGAAAUGAUGCGGAUGCUUGUGAACAGGGGCCCCUUGGCAGUAACUGUAGAUGCAGUGAGCUGGCAGGAUUAUCUUGGUGGAAUCAUACAGUAUCACUGCUCCAGUGGAAAAGCAAAUCAUGCUGUUCUUGUCACUGGUUUUGACAGAACAGGUAGCAUCCCUUACUGGAUUGUACAGAACUCUUGGGGGCGUACAUGGGGAAUAGAUGGCUAUGUUCGUGUGAAGAUGGGCAGCAACAUCUGUGUUUACCACUAGCAACUUGAAUGUGAUGGUGCAUCUGAUUAAAAAGGAAGACUAUUUUAAGGUUUAGAUUCAGCACCCAUAUUGCGCUAAUGCUGAAUCCUUGAGACCUAAAGUUUUGAACAUGAAAGCAGAGAAGAAAGGUAUAGCGGAUACAGUUUCAUCAGUGUUUGUUUGACGUUUAUUGGCUAAAAACCACAAUUAUUAUUUGGGUAAUAGUUUGACGUAUACUGCAAGUGAAGACUUUACUUCAAAGCAACAUUUCCUAAAUUAAGAAACUACUAUACAGGGAAUUUCCUCUUUUGGGCAGAUACAGCGUGGCCAGGAGUUUUUAAAAAUAUUCUUAUUUGGAAUGUGUGUUGCAUAUCAAAUCUUCCUUGGAAUGAGAGAGCUGAGUGUUGACUGCAGAGUGAGGAAAAAAGGAAGUCACAAAAGUGGACCGAAACUGUGAAUUUGAACUCUAUCCAGACGGUGUCAGAUACUAAAAAAUCCACUCCAUCGGAAGUCUUCUGACAAGGAAUGUAGUGAUGACAGAUGAUAAGGAAUUUGAAUCAAGAAGUCAGCAGUAUGACAGAAUAUAACUGAAAUGCUUUGAAUGUGAGAAGAACUGUGAUUAAGUCUGCUUUUAUUUCAGGGAGGAGAAAGGUUUAGAAGAAAAUAUUCUGUUAUGCUUUAUCUGUUUUGGCUUUUCUGGCACCUCUGAUAGACACAUGCAUUUUGUCGUGCUCCUUUUUGUAGAAUCCUACUUCUUUUCUAAAGCUAGAGGAAUAGAGGAGGGAGAUGUAGAGUCGUAAAGUUGUUUCCAAGACAAACCAGUAUCUGUAUUGCUGCUGUCCUUCCAUUUCAGUCUUUGACCUUUCUUGGGUAAAUAUAACUUGUAUGUUCUUCAGAGCAGGGAAUAUGUUUUGGAAAGUGCCUGGAGUAUCUGAGUUUUCUAAACUAGUUUGUUAGAUGCAUAGAAAAGCAAGAGGUAAUUGUUAAGUAAACUGUACUUAGACAAACGGAAGCAGUUCUACUAGUGGCUUGACAUGAAGGUAUAUCAUGUGUCCUAACAGGACAUAUGUGUUUGCAAAUCAGCUGUUCUGUGCUUUGAGAGCUAUGUCAGUCCAAUGCUUUAUCUCUUCUCUACUUCGUUGCUAACAUUGAAGACAAUUGUAAAGUGCAAAUUAAGAAAAUUAUUUAUUAUAGAAAAGGUUUUGGCAGGGCAAGGGGGACUGUUAAUAUGUUUGCCACCUGUAAAAAGGCAGCAGUCAUAGAAUACUCCACAUGGAGUGGAUGCUGAACUUCCCUGCAAAAUUGUGUUCUUGAACCUGUACUGAUGGAAGGAACUUCUUGUAGAAACAAAGUGGUUUCAGCUGUGCUGAUCUGUAAAAAUGCAGUUGCAGGCAAAUAUAAAUAGAAUUCAGAUCUAAACAUGAAAUCCCAAAAUGCUCAAAAUUUUUCAGCUAGAAUGCCUUCCAGUCCACCUAUAUCCUUUCUGAAGCACUAUUAGGAAAAGUAUUGAAGCAAUUUUGUAAUUUUUGCACUCACUUUUGGUACCAUGUUAAUGGUUCUGUGUAUAAUAAUCUUAUGACAAAUGCAAUUAAUAUUCAUAAUUCUUCAUUGUAAGUGUUGUCAUUUUAGUCCUUUCAUUACUACUUAAUAUUUUAAAUGAAAGAAUGAUGGAUCGCUAUGUAUUCCUGCUUAAAGUAGUUUGGCUACUGACUGACUUUUACUGGCUGAAAACUUCACAUGAGCAAAAUGAGAAGUAUAUGUACAUACUCCCCUCAGCCCUGGUGAGGCCUCCUCUCGAGUACUGUGUCCAGUUCUGGGCUCCCAAGUCCAAGAGAGACAUGGAGCUACUGGAGAGAGUCCAGCAUAGGGUUACAAAGAUGAUCAGAGGGCUGGAGCACCUGCCCUAUGAGGAACGGCUGCGAGAGCUGGGCCUCUUCAGCCUGGGGAAGAGAAGACUGAGGGGGGAUCUUAUCAGUGUGUACAAGUACCUGAAGGGAGGGUGUCAAGGGGACGGGGACAAACUCUUUUCAGUUGUCCUGUGUGACAGGACAAGAGGCAAUGGGCAGAAACUGAAGCACAGGAACUUCCACCUGACCGUGAGGGGGAAUUUCUCCCCUGUGAGAGUGACGGAGCACUGGACCAGGUUGCCCAGAGUAACCUGGUGGAGUCUCCUUCUCUGGAGAUGUUCAAGGCCCGCCUGGCUGCAACCCUGUCUUACACGCUCCAGGUGACCCUGCUUGAGCAGGGAGGUUGGACUAGAUGAUCUCCAGAGGCCCCUUCCAACCUUGCUGGUUCUGUGAUUCUACUCUAUGAUUCUAUACUCUCUAACACAAGCUUCCCUUAAUAGUUCACAAACAAUGAGUAGCACACUCUACUAACUGGAAAACAACAGCUAAAGUCAUAAAUGAGCACUGAUAAGCACAAAGUUACAGUAGCAUCAAACGCAGAAGUUGUACCUAUGUUAACAAUUUUUGAGGUGAUUUUAUCAGGUGUAAAUGUUUACACUAAGAUACAGAACAACUGAAGCAUGCUCUGUAUGCCUUAAUUUCUGGUAUUUCCAAGGGAAGCAUUUAGAAAGACAAGAAUCCAUCUAAUGAGAAGCAGACACAGCUCUAUCACUGACUGGCCAAAUUAGCCUCAGUUUUACUGUAUAUUAAUUGUGUCCUUAUUGCAAUGAUAUUUUGAAUUAAAAAACUUUAAAAGUCA
Molecule: RNA transcript, 3687 nt
Organism: Rhea pennata
Lineage: Eukaryota; Metazoa; Chordata; Aves; Rheiformes; Rheidae
Gene: CTSO
Gene name: cathepsin O
Exons: 9
Source: RefSeq, a predicted model, not a curated record